This 802-nucleotide long non-coding RNA is filed under the name Homo sapiens (human). RNAcentral describes it as "HSALNT0094543". The record is from RNAcentral. Lineage: Eukaryota; Metazoa; Chordata; Mammalia; Primates; Hominidae.
CUGAACAAACAGGGCAACAUCUCCCGGACCUUGUGACUUUGGCUGGUGUUUACAGAGUGAAGCUGCUUUGGCGUAUCCUGGGUUCCACUUCAUUAUCUCCAUAAUCAAACCUGGGGCUGCAUAAGAAGAGCACAACCACUCUCCAAGUGAUUUAACAGGAUGCUUUAAUGAUGUAUUGAGAAUGAACAUUGAUCCCAGGUAAGAGGUGCUAAACUGAUACUUUAAAAGCACACCACCCAUUUCGCUCUGAUGGACUCUCCUCCUUAAAUCACCGUGUUGUCAUUUUUACGAUGCAGAUCUAGCUAUUGAGGCUACAGGACUGUGAAAUGUCAUAUAAAAAAGCCAAUAAGAAAAAAAUAAAAUUAAGUUGCGGAGAGCGUGUAUUAGCAUUUCAAAAAUGUUCUGUUGCAUUAUGCUAUUAUUCUCUCUCUGUCAAGGGGCACUGGGAUCCUUUCCUCCCCAUAAAGAGACUGUGCCACAGAAUGUAUUAGCGCUCCGUUCCUGAAACGGCGUGGCAGCUGAAGGGCAUAGUUACAAUAAUGGCAAAAUACAUUCCGGACUAAAUUUGAUAGGACGUGGGGGCAGUCCGCCUCCUCUGAUGACAAAGUCCUGAUUGCUUCUCUCCUUGUUGGCUCAGUCCUGUGGCUUUCAAAGUUUUGACAAAUGAAUGUUUUCAGCAUUUCUGCCCUGCAAGAAAGUGAGGAAUGAGAUCUGCUGAGGUGAGGGUCUGACUCUUGCAUUUCAGAUGACAAUGCGGGGACUGGGAUUUUGUAAAGGGCAGGUCACCCCUACUCUAUGCUCU